AUAAUUCUCAUGUAAUUCAAAUCUCUCUUUUAUAUUUCAUGGUUAAUUUUUUUAUUGGGGUUAUGCGUGAAAUAUUUGUUUUUUCUCAAUUAUGUUUUUCUUAUGUUUUAAGAUUAGUGUUAAAUGUGAUCGUUUUCUAAACGUUCUAAUUUAUUAUUUGUUCAUAUUAACAUAGUAUAAAUAUCAAUAUGUAACAUCAAAUCUUUCAUAUUAAUCAUAUAUAUGUAAUAUAAGUAUUAUAUAGUUGUAAAUAUAAUAUCAAUUUAAUAUUAAUGUUAAUGCCGCAAAUGUUAAUGCCCGCACAUGGGUGCAGGCGGUCCAGCUAGUUAUACAUUAAAGCAAAUAUGAUAUAAACACAUUCUUUUACCAAAAAAAAGAUAUAAAUUUACACCCAAAAAAAAAAAAAAAAGAUAUAAACACAUUUUCGGUGUGAGAUGAACUUAAAAAAAAGGCUAAGGUGAUCUGGAAACUGCAUGUAUGCAUUUCGGCGCCGUAACCAAAUUCAGCACGGCGUUAUCUCAAUUUUUUUUUUUUUUUUGCGUUAUCUCAAUUUUAUGUAUUUGAAAUUAAAGAUUUAUCUGUACGUCCGGUAAACAAUUCAUCUCGCCGCCCACCUUCGUUUAUAUGCGUACUACCAUACCCGUUGAGAUUCCGACAUGCAGCACUACCAUCGUAAUGUCGGUUUUUGCAAAGACGAAAAAUGCAAGACAUAACCAAAAAAGUACAUUACAAAAAUAUUCGAUUCCAACAAGUAACUAAC
RNAcentral lists this long non-coding RNA (760 nucleotides) under Brassica rapa (field mustard). RNAcentral's name for it is "long non-coding RNA (BRAP_LNC007252)". The record is from RNAcentral. Lineage: Eukaryota; Viridiplantae; Streptophyta; Magnoliopsida; Brassicales; Brassicaceae.